This 124-nucleotide microRNA precursor is filed under the name Arabidopsis lyrata subsp. lyrata. RNAcentral's name for it is "mir-395 microRNA precursor family". It matches the Rfam family "mir-395 microRNA precursor family". From Rfam's summary of the family: mir-395 was identified in both Arabidopsis thaliana and Oryza sativa computationally and was later experimentally verified. mir-395 is thought to target mRNAs coding for ATP sulphurylases. Lineage: Eukaryota; Viridiplantae; Streptophyta; Magnoliopsida; Brassicales; Brassicaceae. The record is from Rfam by way of RNAcentral.
CUGUCCCCUUGAGUUCCCUUAAACGCUUCAUUGUUCAUACUUUGUGAGUUUGUGUUCUAAGAUCUAUCGACCGAUAAAUCAAUCUGAUGAACACUGAAGUGUUUGGGGGGACUCUAGGUGACAU